This 257-nucleotide ribosomal RNA is filed under the name uncultured Stenotrophomonas sp. RNAcentral's name for it is "partial 16S ribosomal RNA". It matches the Rfam family "Bacterial small subunit ribosomal RNA", at positions 96 to 355 of the family's 1533-position model. Lineage: Bacteria; Pseudomonadati; Pseudomonadota; Gammaproteobacteria; Lysobacterales; Lysobacteraceae. The record is from RNAcentral.
UGGCGGACGGGUGAGGAAUACAUCGGAAUCUACUUUUUCGUGGGGGAUAACGUAGGGAAACUUACGCUAAUACCGCAUACGACCUACGGGUGAAAGCAGGGGAUCUUCGGACCUUGCGCGAUUGAAUGAGCCGAUGUCGGAUUAGCUAGUUGGCGGGGUAAAGGCCCACCAAGGCGACGAUCCGCAGCUGGUCUGAGAGGAUGAUCAGCCACACUGGAACUGAGACACGGUCCAGACUCCUACGGGAGGCAGCAGCA